This 259-nucleotide ribosomal RNA is filed under the name uncultured prokaryote. RNAcentral's name for it is "partial 16S ribosomal RNA". It matches the Rfam family "Bacterial small subunit ribosomal RNA", at positions 524 to 782 of the family's 1533-position model. The record is from RNAcentral.
UACGGAGGAUCCGAGCGUUAUCCGGAUUUAUUGGGUUUAAAGGGUGCGUAGGCGGGCUAUUAAGUCAGUGGUGAAAUCCUGCAGCUUAACUGCAGAACUGCCGUUGAUACUGAUAGUCUUGAGUUUGGUUAAGGUAGGCGGAAUGUGUAAUGUAGCGGUGAAAUGCUUAGAUAUUACACAGAACACCAAUUGCGUAGGCAGCUUACUGAGCCGACACUGACGCUGAGGCACGAAAGCGUGGGGAUCAAACAGGAUUAGA